AAAGACUCUGUUCCGCAGAGUAGCUGUUGACAUUAUAGUUGCGCAGGCACUUUGUUGACUCUAGAGAACCUCGGGCCAAUCGCACAUCCCCGUGGUGGCGACUUUGCAUGCGGAUGUUAUCCAUAUCAACUGUCGAUGCCAGUUUCUGCGCCUACCAUGGUGACCAUGGGUAACAGGGAAUCAGGGUUCCAUUCCUUACAGGGACCCUGAGAAACGGCUACCACAUGCAAGGAAGGCAGCGGGCGUGCAAAUGACCCACUCCCGACGCGGGAAGAUAGUGAU
Molecule: ribosomal RNA, 282 nt
Filed under: Pelobates cultripes (western spadefoot toad)
Lineage: Eukaryota; Metazoa; Chordata; Amphibia; Anura; Pelobatidae
Description: SSU_rRNA_microsporidia
Rfam family: Eukaryotic small subunit ribosomal RNA
Source: RNAcentral